Molecule: ribosomal RNA, 460 nt
Filed under: uncultured bacterium
Lineage: Bacteria
Description: partial 16S ribosomal RNA
Rfam family: Bacterial small subunit ribosomal RNA
Source: RNAcentral
CCUACGGGAGGCAGCAGUGAGGAAUAUUGGUCAAUGGACGAGAGUCUGAACCAGCCAAGUAGCGUGAAGGAUGACUGCCCUAUGGGUUGUAAACUUCUUGUAUAUGGGAAUAAAAUGUUCCACGUGUGGGAUUUUGUAUGUACCAAAUGAAUAAGGAUCGGCUAACUCCGUGCCAGCAGCCGCGGUAAUACGGAGGAUCCGAGCGUUAUCCGGAUUUAUUGGGUUUAAAGGGAGCGUAGGUGGAUUGUUAAGUCAGUUGUGAAAGUGUGCGGCUCAACCGUAAAAUUGCAGUUGAAACUGGCAGUCUUGAGUACAGGAGAGGUGGGCGGAAUUCGUGGUGUAGCGGUGAAAUGCUUAGAUAUCACGAAGAACUCCGAUUGCGAAGGCAGUUCACUGGACUGCAACUGACACUGAGGCUCGAAAGUGUGGGUAUCAAACAGGAUUAGAUACCCGAGUAGUC